GAUGAACGCUGGCGGCGUGCCUAAUACAUGCAAGUCGAGCGAACAGAUAAGGAGCUUGCUCCUUUGACGUUAGCGGCGGACGGGUGAGUAACACGUGGGUAACCUACCUAUAAGACUGGGAUAACUUCGGGAAACCGGAGCUAAUACCGGAUAAUAUUUCGAACCGCAUGGUUCGAUAGUGAAAGAUGGUUUUGCUAUCACUUAUAGAUGGACCCGCGCCGUAUUAGCUAGUUGGUACGGUAACGGCUUACCAAGGCGACGAUACGUAGCCGACCUGAGAGGGUGAUCGGCCACACUGGAACUGAGACACGGUCCAGGCUCCUACGGGAGGCAGCAGUAGGGAAUCUUCCGCAAUGGGCGAGAGCCUGACAGAGCAACGCCGCGUGAGUGAUGGAGGUCUUCGGAUCGUAAAACUCUGUUAUUAGGGAAGAACAUACGUGUAAGUAACUGUGCACGUCUUGACGGUACCUAAUCAGAAAGCCACGGCUAACUACGUG
RNAcentral lists this ribosomal RNA (497 nucleotides) under uncultured bacterium. RNAcentral describes it as "partial 16S ribosomal RNA". It matches the Rfam family "Bacterial small subunit ribosomal RNA", at positions 28 to 507 of the family's 1533-position model. The record is from RNAcentral.